GAUGAACGCUGGCGGCGUGCUUAACACAUGCAAGUCGAACGGUGAAGCCAAGCUUGCUUGGUGGAUCAGUGGCGAACGGGUGAGUAACACGUGAGCAACCUGCCCUGGACUCUGGGAUAAGCGCUGGAAACGGCGUCUAAUACUGGAUAUGAGCUCUCAUCGCAUGGUGGGGGUUGGAAAGAUUUUUCGGUCUGGGAUGGGCUCGCGGCCUAUCAGCUUGUUGGUGAGGUAAUGGCUCACCAAGGCGUCGACGGGUAGCCGGCCUGAGAGGGUGACCGGCCACACUGGGACUGAGACACGGCCCAGACUCCUACGGGAGGCAGCAGUGGGGAAUAUUGCACAAUGGGCGGAAGCCCGAUGCAGCAACGCCGCGUGAGGGAUGACGGCCUUCGGGUUGUAAACCUCUUUUAGCAGGGAAGAAGCGAGAGUGACGGUACCUGCAGAAAAAGCGCCGGCUAACUACGUGCCAGCAGCCGCGGUAAUACGUAGGGCGCAAGCGUUAUCCGGAAUUAUUGGGCGUAAAGAGCUCGUAGGCGGUUUGUCGCGUCUGCUGUGAAAUCCCGAGGCUCAACCUCGGGCCUGCAGUGGGUACGGGCAGACUAGAGUGCGGUAGGGGAGAUUGGAAUUCCUGGUGUAGCGGUGGAAUGCGCAGAUAUCAGGAGGAACACCGAUGGCGAAGGCAGAUCUCUGGGCCGUAACUGACGCUGAGGAGCGAAAGGGUGGGGAGCAAACAGGCUUAGAUACCCUGGUAGUCCACCCCGUAAACGUUGGGAACUAGUUGUGGGGACCAUUCCACGGUUUCCGUGACGCAGCUAACGCAUUAAGUUCCCCGCCUGGGGAGUACGGCCGCAAGGCUAAAACUCAAAGGAAUUGACGGGGACCCGCACAAGCGGCGGAGCAUGCGGAUUAAUUCGAUGCAACGCGAAGAACCUUACCAAGGCUUGACAUACACCAGAACACCGUAGAAAUACGGGACUCUUUGGACACUGGUGAACAGGUGGUGCAUGGUUGUCGUCAGCUCGUGUCGUGAGAUGUUGGGUUAAGUCCCGCAACGAGCGCAACCCUCGUUCUAUGUUGCCAGCACGUAAUGGUGGGAACUCAUGGGAUACUGCCGGGGUCAACUCGGAGGAAGGUGGGGAUGACGUCAAAUCAUCAUGCCCCUUAUGUCUUGGGCUUCACGCAUGCUACAAUGGCCGGUACAAAGGGCUGCAAUACCGUGAGGUGGAGCGAAUCCCAAAAAGCCGGUCCCAGUUCGGAUUGAGGUCUGCAACUCGACCUCAUGAAGUCGGAGUCGCUAGUAAUCGCAGAUCAGCAACGCUGCGGUGAAUACGUUCCCGGGUCU
This 1342-nucleotide ribosomal RNA is filed under the name uncultured bacterium. RNAcentral describes it as "bacterial SSU rRNA". It matches the Rfam family "Bacterial small subunit ribosomal RNA", at positions 28 to 1381 of the family's 1533-position model. The record is from RNAcentral.